This 869-nucleotide long non-coding RNA is filed under the name Chrysemys picta bellii (western painted turtle). Its description in RNAcentral is "lncRNA (ENSCPBG00000028348.1)". Lineage: Eukaryota; Metazoa; Chordata; Testudines; Emydidae. The record is from RNAcentral.
AUUCCUAAAUUCUGUGAAGGAGGCACUGGCAGCUUAGUAUUGCGGGCGGGGGGGGGGGAGAAAGGGAGGAAGUUUCUUCCAGUUGUGAUUAUGCGCAGAGUUUCCUUGUACUGAGCUUAGUUUUCUCCACCCACUACUUAGUGAGAACUCUUUAACUAGAAGACUAACAACUUAAAGCUUUAUCCCUGUGAGUACCAGAAAAGUGAUCUGAGUAUUUAUUAAACAGAGAGAACAAACUGCCUACUUCAGGCAGGGAGGAAGCGUAUGGAAAUUAUAUUAGAACUUCAGCAAAGUGCAGAGCUGCAUAAUACAGAAGCUGGGACUCAAAUUGACAGGCUAAUAAGCCAGCUCACUGAAGGGGGCUCUGUGUGGCAGCUCUGAGUUACUAAGUGUUGGACAACUAUAGGCAAAAUGUGAAAUGGAACAGGGCAGAAAAUAACACACUAACUUCAGGCAACUGUUGCUUUCUCCUGGUCUUCAGGGAUUUUACAUUCUGUAGCUGGCAAAACAAGUCCCCAUUUAAAUAUUAAGCUUACUACAUUAAUGACUGUGAAGUACUUGUUCCUUGGAACUGCACCUGUUCAGCAUGACACCUUGCUUUGCUGGUGAUGUCACAUGCAGCACUGACUAUAAUUGGAGAAUGGAACCUCUUUGUGGGUGCAAGUCUGCAGUCGCACGGCUGGUGGUGUGGCACAGACAGAGCAAGGGUUACAUCAAGGCUGUUCUCUGGACCGUGCAAACAGUCUAGACCAAUGACCUGCAGCAUCAUGCCCUUUGAAGAAGAGGCAAGUUCGGUCACGAUGAAGAAAAAUCAAGGCGUACCCCUUUUAACAAUAGGGAGCAGCUCGUGGCUGCAAAGAGGUGGAUGA